AGGGGGACAACCCGGGGAAACUCGGGCUAAUACCGCAUACGCUCUACGGAGGAAAGCAGGGGAUCUUCGGACCUUGCGCUAUUGGAUGGGCCUGCGUUGGAUUAGCUUGUUGGUAGGGUAAAGGCCUACCAAGGCGACGAUCCAUAGCUGGUCUGAGAGGACGAUCAGCCACACUGGGACUGAGACACGGCCCAGACUCCUACGGGAGGCAGCAGUGGGGAAUAUUGGACAAUGGGGGCAACCCUGAUCCAGCAAUGCCGCGUGUGUGAAGAAGGUCUUCGGGUUGUAAAGCACUUUCAGUGGGGAAGAAAAGUGUAAGGUUAAUACCCUUGCAUCUUGACGGUACCU
Molecule: ribosomal RNA, 348 nt
Filed under: uncultured bacterium
Lineage: Bacteria
Description: bacterial SSU rRNA
Rfam family: Bacterial small subunit ribosomal RNA
Source: RNAcentral